GUAGAUAUAGUUUACAUGAAAAACCUCAGACUGUGAAUCUGACAACAGGAAGCUAACCUCCCUUGUCUACC
Molecule: transfer RNA, 71 nt
Filed under: Mastomys kollmannspergeri (Kollmannsperger's Mastomys)
Lineage: Eukaryota; Metazoa; Chordata; Mammalia; Rodentia; Muridae
Description: tRNA-His
Rfam family: tRNA
About the family: Transfer RNA (tRNA) molecules are approximately 80 nucleotides in length. Their secondary structure includes four short double-helical elements and three loops (D, anti-codon, and T loops).
Source: RNAcentral